UACAGAGGUCCCAAGCGUUGUUCGGAUUCACUGGGCGUAAAGGGUGCGCAGGUGGGCUGGUAAGUUCGAUGUGAAAGCCCCGGGCUUAACCCGGGAAUGGCAUUGGAUACUACUGGUCUGGAGGAUCGGAGGGGGGACUGGAAUUCUUGGUGUAGCAGUGAAAUGCGUAGAUAUCAAGAGGAACACCAGUGGCGAAGGCGGGUCUCUGGGCCGUAACUGACGCUGAGGAGCGAAAGCAUGGGGAGCGAACAGG
Molecule: ribosomal RNA, 253 nt
Filed under: uncultured bacterium
Lineage: Bacteria
Description: partial 16S ribosomal RNA
Rfam family: Bacterial small subunit ribosomal RNA
Source: RNAcentral